This 809-nucleotide ribosomal RNA is filed under the name Pseudomonas aeruginosa. RNAcentral's name for it is "bacterial SSU rRNA". It matches the Rfam family "Bacterial small subunit ribosomal RNA", at positions 61 to 865 of the family's 1533-position model. Lineage: Bacteria; Pseudomonadati; Pseudomonadota; Gammaproteobacteria; Pseudomonadales; Pseudomonadaceae. The record is from RNAcentral.
GUCGAGCGGAUGAAGGGAGCUUGCUCCUGGAUUCAGCGGCGGACGGGUGAGUAAUGCCUAGGAAUCUGCCUGGUAGUGGGGGAUAACGUCCGGAAACGGGCGCUAAUACCGCAUACGUCCUGAGGGAGAAAGUGGGGGAUCUUCGGACCUCACGCUAUCAGAUGAGCCUAGGUCGGAUUAGCUAGUUGGUGGGGUAAAGGCCUACCAAGGCGACGAUCCGUAACUGGUCUGGGAGGAUGAUCAGUCACACUGGAACUGAGACACGGUCCAGACUCCUACGGGAGGCAGCAGUGGGGAAUAUUGGACAAUGGGCGAAAGCCUGAUCCAGCCAUGCCGCGUGUGUGAAGAAGGUCUUCGGAUUGUAAAGCACUUUAAGUUGGGAGGAAGGGCAGUAAGUUAAUACCUUGCUGUUUUGACGUUACCAACAGAAUAAGCACCGGCUAACUUCGUGUCAGCAGCCGCGGUAAUACGAAGGGUGCAAGCGUUAAUCGGAAUUACUGGGCGUAAAGCGCGCGUAGGUGGUUCAGCAAGUUGGAUGUGAAAUCCCCGGGCUCAACCUGGGAACUGCAUCCAAAACUACUGAGCUAGAGUACGGUAGAGGGUGGUGGAAUUUCCUGUGUAGCGGUGAAAUGCGUAGAUAUAGGAAGGAACACCAGUGGCGAAGGCGACCACCUGGACUGAUACUGACACUGAGGUGCGAAAGCGUGGGGAGCAAACAGGAUUAGAUACCCUGGUAGUCCACGCCGUAAACGAUGUCGACUAGCCGUUGGGAUCCUUGAGAUCUUAGUGGCGCAGCUAACGCGAUAAGU